This 505-nucleotide long non-coding RNA is filed under the name Actinidia chinensis (golden kiwifruit). Its description in RNAcentral is "long non-coding RNA (ACHI_LNC006407)". The record is from RNAcentral. Lineage: Eukaryota; Viridiplantae; Streptophyta; Magnoliopsida; Ericales; Actinidiaceae.
GACAGAGCACGUUUCAGAAACACACAGAGAGAGAGAAAGAGAAAAGGGGUCUCGACGGAGCCGCGGAGGCUUCGAUUCAGGCGCCGGUGGGUUCGAUUCAAGCACCGGAGGUUCCAUUCAAGCGAUGAAUGGUUCGAUUCAAGCCACAGAUGGUUCAAUUCAAGCCACAGAUGGUUUGAUUCAGAGGCCGGAUGGUUCAAUUUAGGCGAUAUACGCAGUAUGCCUCUCUCUCCGAUUUAUUUUUUAUUUUUUAUAAUUAUUUUUGGGUGAUUGUUUUUUUUGGCUGUGGAAGGGGGAUAAGGAGGGGUAAAAUGGUUCGAAAUAUCCCUAAUACCACUGGACAACUUUUGGGGAGGGGGAGGGCUGCCAAAAAGUUAUCCGGGAGCUGGGGGAAAGAGAAGCAGAGGGAAAAGUUGUAUAGAGAAAGUAAGGGGGAGUUAUCAGGAGUUAUAUCCGAUAGCCAAACGGGUUGAUAGGAAAUAUAAUAUGACACGUUUAAUUAAAU